This 425-nucleotide ribosomal RNA is filed under the name uncultured bacterium. Its description in RNAcentral is "partial 16S ribosomal RNA". It matches the Rfam family "Bacterial small subunit ribosomal RNA", at positions 354 to 796 of the family's 1533-position model. The record is from RNAcentral.
GUGGGGAAUCUUGCGCAAUGGGCGAAAGCCUGACGCAGCCAUGCCGCGUGGAUGAUGAAGGUCUUAGGAUUGUAAAAUCCUUUCACCGGUGAAGAUAAUGACUGUAGCCGGAGAAGAAGCCCCGGCUAACUUCGUGCCAGCAGCCGCGGUAAUACGAAGGGGGCUAGCGUUGCUCGGAUUUACUGGGCGUAAAGGGCGCGUAGGCGGACAUUUAAGUCAGGGGUGAAAUCCCGGGGCUCAACCUCGGAGCUGCCUUUGAUACUGGAUGUCUUGAGUGUGAGAGAGGUGUGUGGAACUCCGAGUGUAGAGGUGAAAUUCGUAGAUAUUCGGAAGAACACCAGUGGCGAAGGCGACACACUGGCUCAUUACUGACGCUGAGGCGCGAAAGCGUGGGGAGCAAACAGGAUUAGAUACCCUAGUAGUCC